Molecule: unclassified non-coding RNA, 485 nt
Filed under: Bombus terrestris (buff-tailed bumblebee)
Lineage: Eukaryota; Metazoa; Arthropoda; Insecta; Hymenoptera; Apidae
Description: misc RNA ENSBTSG00005030693.1
Source: RNAcentral
UAAUAAUACGUUCGUUAGUGUACCAUCGUCCAACUGCCCACCAAGUUUACAUACUAUCGUCGAAAAUUGACGAUAAUAACGCGAUUCGCAACUCUUAUAUAUAUUACAAAAUGUGCGAUAAAGGAGAAAUAAGACGAAGAAAUCCACCAACAUUUAUAAACACUCGGAUACUUUCAACGGUCUGUAGCGAUAAUACCAAUUCAUAAAAUUGCUUCAUAGAAAAUGUCUUAUAAAAAUAAAUAUGAUGUAAGAAGGACAGACACGAUGGACCACGAUCGCCAUUACAGAGUUCGUUUGGCACACGGUUUGAGAAACACUCGGCUCAUUUACCUUUUCUCGUCUCGUCUUAACUUUUCCAUCAUUUUACUAUAUACCAGCAAGGAUAAAUAAACGGAAAAGUUAUAAAAGAAGUCACCGUAGAUCGACAUAAUAUUCCCGUAAAUACCAAAGCUUUAAUUAGAACUAAAGAGGCGGCGAAGCUGCAG